This 1457-nucleotide long non-coding RNA is filed under the name Prunus dulcis (almond). Its description in RNAcentral is "sRNA ncRNA". Lineage: Eukaryota; Viridiplantae; Streptophyta; Magnoliopsida; Rosales; Rosaceae. The record is from RNAcentral.
UAGAAUUACAAUGAAAAUUUCCUUUCAUUCUUUUUUCAGCUGUUGAAAGGUUUGCUCAUGAGGACAAGGGUGAUUUUGCAACUUCACUAAAGCAUUUUAGGUAAGAACCAUAUCCUCGAAUUGCUCUUUUGGACCGAAAUUAAACCUUUUGUGUGAUGGUUUAUCAUAUGAUUGAGUUCUAUGUUUGAACUUAUAAAUUCGUUCAUGGUGGAUUUGAAUUGCCACUCAGUGUUGCUUGAGUGAAGUUGAUAAUUGUGUGCAUUGUAAGAUUCACAAUUCUUAUUAGAUGUUUUAAAUGUAAUGAACAAAAACUAUAACAUGUAGCCUGUUAUUUCUGUCUUUAUUAUACUUCUAUGACCUAUAGCUGUUUAUAGAUUAUUACUGCUUCUAUAGCUUCUCCAUUAGAUUAUCUUGAUUCUAUAACAAACUUGCUCAUUAGGUCGUUAGGUUAUCUUAUUCUAUUUAUAGGUCAUUAGGUGUUCAUAGGUUAUUUAAAUUUGGUUUGUGCAGUUUAUUUGGCCUUAAUUCUAUAACAAUAGCCAUUGUCUUCGCCAAAAUUUUCUCAUUUGUCUCCAUUACCGCAUACCAUUUACCAUAUUUAUGGCUACAAAAUCAACACCCCUUGAUUUGAUUCUGUUCAAGCUCAAGUGUUGGCUUAAUUCUCUUAUAACUAUUUAAUAAUUGUCACAAUUGUUCUGAAUUUAUUCAAUAGAUUGAGUUUAUACUUUUGUCCAUCAGAUUAAUACAAUGCUUGAUGUAUCUAGACUGUUGUUUGUCAUAUUGUAUUUUUUAACUUAAUUAUGUCAUAAUAGUUAUUGCUCCCACCCAAAAUUUUCCAUUUAUAUACACUUAUAUACACUAACACCUGCCAUUUUCCAAAUUUAUGCCAACAGAGUCAAAACCUCUACAGAGGAGGAGAAAGAAUGUAAGCCACCUGUACAGCAGAGCUAGCAAGACCUAGACCCCCUUCCACCACCCAGUACCAUAUAUAUAAACACCUGCCCAAACUCUUUUGAACAAUGAGCAACUAAAGGUUGCCCAUAUUUUGAUGUUUUUAUAACUGCUUGAUCUAUUAAAAUAUGUCCAAUAUUUUGUAACUUAAACUUGCUAAACUAAGCAUGAUACCACUAUUUACAUCUCCAUGUUUAUAUAAAUAUUGCCAUUUUCCCUGCAUAUUUUUACUACUUUAUACGCAUUUCACAUGAUUUCAAAACCCGCAGCAUCGCGAAGGCACCAUUGCUAGUAAAUCCUAAGAAACUAAAGAGAAGAUCUCCUUGUUACAGGUCCAAAUACACUUGGAUUUAAAGAAGUGAAAGCAAGAAGUUCCGCUUCACAUUCAAAUAAGGCCAUGUCUUCCUCACUUAAACUUACCCAUGCAUCCACUCCAUAACCCUCCUUUGUGUCAAUCAAAGUAGCAACAUUAUUGAGUAUAUCACCAGGUAUGCUCACCCAAAUUG